This 247-nucleotide unclassified non-coding RNA is filed under the name Hevea brasiliensis (rubber tree). Lineage: Eukaryota; Viridiplantae; Streptophyta; Magnoliopsida; Malpighiales; Euphorbiaceae. The record is from RNAcentral.
GUUGUAUCAGCAAUGUAAGCGCUUGGCUUCCUUUUGUCCUUGCGCAGCGAAGCCACCAAGUUCGUCGGGUCGGAAUCAAAGUAGUGGCUGACAUCGGUGAGGGAUAUCUCUGACGAAUCAAGGUUCUGAAAAGUAGCGUCCGCCGUGCUGAGAGCUACCUCGAACAUUUUUCGCUUCUCGGUCAUGCCGACGCCAGGGGCGUCACAGUCGAAUGCAAAGGAUUUGCGGCUUAGGUACAUGUCUUGCA